GUUGGCGUGGCCGAGUGGUUUAGGCGAUGGUCUGCAAAACCAUAGAUGUUGGUUCGAUUCCAACCGUCAACU
This 72-nucleotide transfer RNA is filed under the name Clostridia bacterium. RNAcentral's name for it is "tRNA-Cys". It matches the Rfam family "tRNA". Rfam says of the family: Transfer RNA (tRNA) molecules are approximately 80 nucleotides in length. Their secondary structure includes four short double-helical elements and three loops (D, anti-codon, and T loops). Lineage: Bacteria; Bacillati; Bacillota; Clostridia. The record is from RNAcentral.